This 1035-nucleotide long non-coding RNA is filed under the name Pogona vitticeps (central bearded dragon). Its description in RNAcentral is "lncRNA (ENSPVIG00000013075.1)". The record is from RNAcentral. Lineage: Eukaryota; Metazoa; Chordata; Lepidosauria; Squamata; Agamidae.
AUGAGAGAGAAGGCAGACCCCCCCCAAAAAAAAUCAGGCACCCCUCUGCCCCAGGUGCUCGGCUCUUAUGAGUUCCCCAAGGGGCUUAGAGGGGCUUGUGUGGCCCCCUUGGUAAGGGGCGAAGGCUUGGGCGUAGAGAGCAGAAUCGUUGUGUUCCUUCCUAGAACAUCGCCUCUCCUCACAAGUGCACUUCCCCGGUGGCCGUGGCAUGAAGCUGGAAGAAGCCAUCCGGCGCUACCUGGGCAACUUCACCGUCAGCUUGUGGCUCCGAAGCCUCUCCGCCGGCCACCCCAAGAUGUGUGUGGUCAGCUAUGCCCUGAAGUGGAAGCCGCCAGAAUUUGCCCUCUUCCUCCUGUCCCCUUGGGGGCUGGAGUUCCACCUCAAGGGGUGAGGCUUGGCUGGGAUCCGGGCCCGGGCUGGUGGCUGUGUCCCCUUUGCCAGAAGGAAAGGCUGAAAGGGACAUGUGGAAUAGCGAGGAGGUCGGUCCCUUCUCCGGACCCCUUGCGGACCCCGUCUGUUCGUUGCAGGGCCGUGAUGUUCUGCGAGACCCGUGGGGCUCUUCUGGACGGAUCCUGGCAUCACGUGGCCGUCUCCGUCUCUAGCGCUCCCAACCCACUCCCCGUCCAGGUCUUUGUGGACGGGGAGCCCUGGGACCCCAGUUCUGCCAGCGGCGGGCACCGUUCCUGGAAGAAGGGGCUGCCCUUGGGGGGGACGCUGUGCGUGGGGCAGCUGGAGAUCGACGGCAGGGGUGAGUCUCGGGGAAGGCCUUGGGCCGUCUGGUUCGGGCGUCGGGGGGGGGUUGGACACAGGUCCAGAGUGAGCCAGGGGGUCCCCAAAGGCUGCAGGAAGGCCUUCUUGCGUUUUGGAGUCAGCGAAGGAGUACCUGUCGCUGGGGGGGGGGGAGACCACCUGGUCAGGCGGAUCAGAGGCUGGGCGUCUCAAAUCGCUGGGCGGUGGGUGGGAGCAGAGCGCUCGUCCAUAGGUUUGAUCCCCGGCUGCCUCUCCUGGGAGAAAGCUCAGGAAGGAGAAAGAUGA